CCAUUUCUCCUGCAAGGGAAUAACGAGUGUCGAUUAGAUAUUUAUCAUUCAAUUCUAUUAGCAUAACAUUGGUCUCAAAGAUGGAAAGAGAAGCCAUGUCCCACCGGGCGUGCCAUUUUGUCUGCCACCACGAAUGACGCACCUCGCACGGCUGAUGGAUUUCAGGCCGUGGGGUAGUAUUCAUGAUUCAGAUUAAUAUUUAAAUAUGUAUGGUUAUCAGGUUUUGUGGAUUCAUGGCUUCCAAUAAACGCAAGCGUCUAUUGUUAAUUACCCCUACAAAGUGUUAGGGCACCUUCGAUUAAGAGACCUUUGUAAUGCUGUGAUUGAAUAAAAGAUGAAUUUUAUAACAUAAUUCAGUAUGACGGUUGAUUGAAUUUGAUUCUGAACCAAGAUAUUAUUCAUCCUAAGAUGAAAGGUUGGUUAAAUUCCCAGUAUAUACAUUGGAAUUUAAUCAGAUUUGAUUCAAAUUAAACUCUAAUUAAAUGAAUUAGAGUUUGAUUUAGUUAAUUGAACUUUAAAUAUAUGUGAUAA
This 531-nucleotide long non-coding RNA is filed under the name Ananas comosus (pineapple). Its description in RNAcentral is "long non-coding RNA (ACOM_LNC005440)". The record is from RNAcentral. Lineage: Eukaryota; Viridiplantae; Streptophyta; Magnoliopsida; Poales; Bromeliaceae.